AACGCUGGCGGCGUGCCUAAUACAUGCAAGUCGAACGCUGAAGGAGGCGCUUGCUUCUCUGGAUGAGUUGCGAACGGGUGAGUAACGCGUAGGUAACCUGCCUGGUAGCGGGGGAUAACUAUUGGAAACGAUAGCUAAUACCGCAUAACAGUAGAUAUCGCAUGAUAUCUACUUGAAAGGUGCAAUUGCAUCACUACCAGAUGGACCUGCGUUGUAUUAGCUAGUUGGUGAGGUAACGGCUCACCAAGGCGACGAUACAUAGCCGACCUGAGAGGGUGAUCGGCCACACUGGGACUGAGACACGGCCCAGACUCCUACGGGAGGCAGCAGUAGGGAAUCUUCGGCAAUGGACGGAAGUCUGACCGAGCAACGCCGCGUGAGUGAAGAAGGGUUUCGGAUCGUAAAGCUCUGUUGUAAGAGAAGAACGAGUGUGAGAGUGGAAAGUUCACACUGUGACGGUAUCUUACCAGAAAGGGACGGCUAACUACGUG
RNAcentral lists this ribosomal RNA (491 nucleotides) under uncultured bacterium. Its description in RNAcentral is "partial 16S ribosomal RNA". It matches the Rfam family "Bacterial small subunit ribosomal RNA", at positions 32 to 507 of the family's 1533-position model. The record is from RNAcentral.